AUGUCUUGUCCAACAAGGGUGAUCGACGCGGACUACCACAGCCUGGUGGGUGUCGUUCUCUUCAACCACUCGGAGGUGGACUUCUCCGUGAAGCCCGGAGACUGCGUCGUGCAGAUGAUCGUCCAGGUGAUUGCGAAUUGCAACGCCGGAGGUCGCCGAGGUGGAGGACCUCGACGUCACCGUCUGGCGGGAGGGAGGGUUUGGGUCCACCGGUGUUUGAACCCAGAGUCUUUGUAG
RNAcentral lists this ribosomal RNA (237 nucleotides) under Triticum aestivum (bread wheat). Its description in RNAcentral is "partial small subunit ribosomal RNA". The record is from RNAcentral. Lineage: Eukaryota; Viridiplantae; Streptophyta; Magnoliopsida; Poales; Poaceae.